Molecule: long non-coding RNA, 740 nt
Filed under: Physcomitrium patens
Lineage: Eukaryota; Viridiplantae; Streptophyta; Bryopsida; Funariales; Funariaceae
Description: long non-coding RNA (PPAT_LNC006041)
Source: RNAcentral
CAUAAUAAUCUUAAGCAAGUUUUAAUCAAAUUGAAAGAAACCUCAAAGAAAUUUGAAAGAAACAAUAAAAAAAACUUAAAGAAAUAUUAGAAUGAUCACAAAUAUCACUCAAAUACAUCUCAAUUCAAACUUAAUUUAAUUCUAAUAAAAUUCUAUUGGACUUCAUUCAAACUUUAGGCCAAAAUUAAUUAAAUUUCAAACCCUAAUAAAAUCCUAAAUCCUAAAUCAAAUCCUAAAUCCUAAACCAAAUCCUAAUUAAACCCUAAAUCCUAAAUCAAACCCUAAAUUCUAAACCAGACCCUAAAAUAAAUCCUAAACUUUAAAUUAAAUCCUAAUCAAAUCUUAAUUCAAAUCCUAAAUACUAAAUCAAACUCUAAAUCAAAUCCUAAACACUAAAUCAAAUCUUAAUCAAAUCCUAAUCCACAUCCUAAAUCCUAAAUCAAACUCUAAAUAAAUCCUAAAUCCUAAAUCAAACCCUAACCAAACCCUAAUCUUAAAUCAAAUCUUAACCAAAUUCUAACCUUAAAUCAAAUCCUAAUCAAAUUCUAAACCCUAAACCAAUCCUAACCAAAUCCUAAUCCAAAUCCUAAACCCUAAAUCAAACCCUAAAUCAUAAAUCAAAUCCUAACCAAACCCUAACCUUAAAUCAAAUCCUAACCAAAUCCUAAUCCUAAAUCAAAUCCUAACCAAAUUGUAAACCCUAAACCAAUCCCUAAACAAAUCCUAGUAAUUCCUACAAU